RNAcentral lists this transfer RNA (74 nucleotides) under Dermacentor silvarum. RNAcentral describes it as "transfer RNA isoleucine (anticodon AAU)". It matches the Rfam family "tRNA". From Rfam's summary of the family: Transfer RNA (tRNA) molecules are approximately 80 nucleotides in length. Their secondary structure includes four short double-helical elements and three loops (D, anti-codon, and T loops). Further hydrogen bonds mediate the characteristic L-shaped molecular structure. tRNAs have two regions of fundamental functional importance: the anti-codon, which is responsible for specific mRNA codon recognition, and the 3' end, to which the tRNAs corresponding amino acid is attached (by aminoacyl-tRNA synthetases). tRNAs cope with the degeneracy of the genetic code in two manners: having more than one tRNA (with a specific anti-codon) for a particular amino acid; and 'wobble' base-pairing, i.e. permitting non-standard base-pairing at the 3rd anti-codon position. The record is from RNAcentral. Lineage: Eukaryota; Metazoa; Arthropoda; Arachnida; Ixodida; Ixodidae.
GGCCUGCUAGCUCAGUCGGUUAGGGCGUCGUGCUAAUAACGCGAAAGUUGUAGGUUCGAUCCCUGCGCAGGCCA